This 1412-nucleotide ribosomal RNA is filed under the name uncultured prokaryote. RNAcentral describes it as "partial 16S ribosomal RNA". It matches the Rfam family "Bacterial small subunit ribosomal RNA". The record is from RNAcentral.
CUAGCGGCAGGCCUAACACAUGCAAGUCGAACGGUAAGGUCUCUUCGGAGAUACACGAGUGGCGCACGGGUGAGUAACGCGUAUGCAACCUACCUUUUACAGGGGGAUAGCCCGAAGAAAUUCGGAUUAAUACCCCAUAGUUCAUUAUCACCGCAUGGUGGGAAUGAUAAAGUUUUGGCGGUAAAAGAUGGGCAUGCGUGACAUUAGAUAGUUGGUGAGGUAACGGCUCACCAAGUCAGCGAUGUCUAGGGGGUCUGAGAGGAUGGUCCCCCACACUGGUACUGAGACACGGACCAGACUCCUACGGGAGGCAGCAGUGAGGAAUAUUGGGCAAUGGACGCAAGUCUGACCCAGCCAUGCCGCGUGCAGGAUGACGGCCCUAUGGGUUGUAAACUGCUUUUUUACGGGAAGAAUAGGCACUACGUGUAGUGAUUUGACGGUACCGUACGAAUAAGCACCGGCUAACUCCGUGCCAGCAGCCGCGGUAAUACGGAGGGUGCAGGCGUUAUCCGGAUUUAUUGGGUUUAAAGGGUGCGUAGGCGGGCUAAUAAGUCAGUGGUGAAAUCUCAUGGCUCAACCAUGAAAUUGCCAUUGAAACUGUUAGUCUUGAGUAUAGUUGAGGUAGGCGGAAUGUGUCAUGUAGCGGUGAAAUGCUUAGAUAUGACCCAGAACUCCGAUUGCGUAGGCAGCUUACUAAACUAUUACUGACGCUGAUGCACGAAAGCGUGGGUAGCGAACAGGAUUAGAUACCCUGGUAGUCCACGCCGUAAACGAUGAUUACUCGCUGUGUGCGAUAUAUUGUACGCGGCUGAGCGAAAGCAUUAAGUAAUCCACCUGGGGAGUACGGUCGCAAGAUUGAAACUCAAAGGAAUUGACGGGGGCCCGCACAAGCGGAGGAACAUGUGGUUUAAUUCGAUGAUACGCGAGGAACCUUACCUGGGCUUAAAUGUAGAGUGCUUUUCACCGAAAGGUGAUUUUCCUUCGGGACGCUUUACAAGGUGCUGCAUGGUUGUCGUCAGCUCGUGCCGUGAGGUGUCGGGUUAAGUCCCAUAACGAGCGCAACCCCUAUCGUUAGUUGCCAUCGGGUCAUGCCGGGGACUCUAACGAGACUGCCAGUGUAAACUGUGAGGAAGGUGGGGAUGACGUCAAAUCAGCACGGCCCUUAUGCCCAGGGCUACACACGUGUUACAAUGGCCGGUACAGAGGGUAGCUACUACGUGAGUAGAUGCCAAUCCCCAAAGCCGGUCUCAGUUCGGAUCGGAGUCUGCAACUCGACUCCGUGAAGUUGGAUUCGCUAGUAAUCGUAUAUCAGCAAUGAUACGGUGAAUACGUUCCCGGGCCUUGUACACACCGCCCGUCAAGCCAUGGAAGCUGGGGGUACCUGAAGUCUGUAACCGUAAGGAGCGGCCUAG